RNAcentral lists this ribosomal RNA (407 nucleotides) under uncultured bacterium. RNAcentral's name for it is "bacterial SSU rRNA". It matches the Rfam family "Bacterial small subunit ribosomal RNA", at positions 355 to 776 of the family's 1533-position model. The record is from RNAcentral.
UGGGGAAUAUUGCACAAUGGGGGAAACCCUGAUGCAGCAACGCCGCGUGAAGGAAGAAGGCCUUCGGGUUGUAAACUUCUUUUACCAGGGACGAAGGACGUGACGGUACCUGGAGAAAAAGCAACGGCUAACUACGUGCCGGCAGCCGCGGUAAUACGUAGGUUGCGAGCGUUGUCCGGAUUUACUGGGUGUAAAGGGCGUGUAGGCGGAGAAGCAAGUUGGGAGUAAAAUCUAUGGGCUCAACCCAUAAACUGCUCUCAAAACUGUUUCCCUUGAGUAUCGGAGAGGCAAGCGGAAUUCCUAGUGUAGCGGUGAAAUGCGUAGAUAUUAGGAGGAACACCAGUGGCGAAGGCGGCUCGCUGGACGACAACUGACGCUGAGGCGCGAAAGCGUGGGGAGCAAACAGG